This 195-nucleotide ribosomal RNA is filed under the name uncultured bacterium. RNAcentral's name for it is "partial 16S ribosomal RNA". It matches the Rfam family "Bacterial small subunit ribosomal RNA", at positions 326 to 538 of the family's 1533-position model. The record is from RNAcentral.
ACGCUCGACACCUAGGGGGCAGCAGUGAGGGAUAUUGGUCAAUGGGGGAAACCCUGAACCAGCAACGCCGCGUGAGGGAUGACGGCCUGGUUGUAACCUCUGUCCUCUGUGAAGAUAAUGACGGUAGCAGAGGAGGAAGCUCCGGCUAACUACGUGCCAGCAGCCGCGGUAAUCUGAGGCGGGCGUGGCGAAGGC